AGCGUGUGCGCGAGUCAUUGGGUGAAAAACCUAAAGGCGCAAUGAAAGUGUCAGUGGAGGGCAUCCCCCGGGAUGUCCCUCCCGCAGGGAGGAUGGGUUGCCCGGCGUCCCCUCGCCGGCCCCCCGCACUCCCGGGGCGUCUCGUUCUCACUGCGAGUGGAGACGCACCAGGAGCGCACACGCUGGUACCCGAAAGAUGGUGAACUAUGCCUGGCCAGGACGAAGCCAGGGGAAACCCUGGUGGAGGUCCGAAGCGAUUCUGACGUGCAAAUCGAUCGUCUGAGCUGGGUAUAGGGGCGAAAGACCAAUCGAA
Molecule: ribosomal RNA, 313 nt
Filed under: Austrotichus rugosus
Lineage: Eukaryota; Metazoa; Arthropoda; Insecta; Hemiptera; Scutelleridae
Description: eukaryotic LSU rRNA
Rfam family: Eukaryotic large subunit ribosomal RNA
Source: RNAcentral